GACGAACGCUGGCGGCGUGCUUAACACAUGCAAGUCGAACGGAAAGGCCCUGCUUUUGUGGGGUGCUCGAGUGGCGAACGGGUGAGUAACACGUGAGUAACCUGCCCUUGAUUUUGGGAUAACUUCAGGAAACUGGGGCUAAUACCGGAUAGGAGCUCCUGCUGCAUGGUGGGGGUUGGAAAGUUUCGGCGGUUGGGGAUGGACUCGCGGCUUAUCAGCUUGUUGGUGGGGUAGUGGCUUACCAAGGCUUUGACGGGUAGCCGGCCUGAGAGGGUGACCGGCCACAUUGGGACUGAGAUACGGCCCAGACUCCUACGGGAGGCAGCAGUGGGGAAUAUUGCACAAUGGGCGGAAGCCUGAUGCAGCAACGCCGCGUGCGGGAUGACGGCCUUCGGGUUGUAAACCGCUUUCGCCUGUGACGAAGCGUGAGUGACGGUAAUGGGUAAAGAAGCACCGGCUAACUACGUG
This 468-nucleotide ribosomal RNA is filed under the name uncultured bacterium. RNAcentral's name for it is "partial 16S ribosomal RNA". It matches the Rfam family "Bacterial small subunit ribosomal RNA", at positions 28 to 507 of the family's 1533-position model. The record is from RNAcentral.